UCCAGACUCCUACGGGAGGCAGCAGUGGGGAAUAUUGCACAAUGGGGGGAACCCUGAUGCAGCGACGCCGCGUGGGCGAAGAAGUAUUUCGGUAUGUAAAGCCCUAUCAGCAGGGAAGAAGAAAUGACGGUACCUGAGUAAGAAGCCCCGGCUAACUACGUGCCAGCAGCCGCGGUAAUACGUAGGGGGCAAGCGUUAUCCGGAUUUACUGGGUGUAAAGGGAGCGUAGACGGCGAAGAAAGUCUGAAGUGAAAGCCCGCGGCUUAUCCGCGGAACUGCUUUGGAAACUUUUUUGCUGGAGUACCGGAGAGGGAAGCGGAAUUCCUAGUGUAGCGGUGAAAUGCGUAGAUAUUAGGAGGAACACCAGUGGCGAAGGCGGCUUACUGGACGGUAACUGACGUUGAGGCUCGAAAGCGUGGGGAGCAAACAGGAUUAGAGACCCUCGUAAAA
Molecule: ribosomal RNA, 450 nt
Filed under: uncultured bacterium
Lineage: Bacteria
Description: bacterial SSU rRNA
Rfam family: Bacterial small subunit ribosomal RNA
Source: RNAcentral